AAAAGUCACAGGAGCUGCACAAACCUUUAGGAAAGCCCGAGGAAAACUACGGGCAUUUCUAAGACCCUCCCACUAUUGAGGAGACACGUGUGGCCUGCACAGUGGCAGACCAGCUCCUGGCCGCCCUCCCCAUUGGCACCUUUCACCAGCUCAUUGAUGAGUGUACGCAGAACCUAAACAAAGGAUCCUAAAGCCAGAGAGAAGAGGGAUAAGGAGGGGGUCUGUGCAGAGGCAGGGCACACGCGGAAGCAGUAGCAGAGCUUUUGACCAGACCUUUUUGGGAGCUGGUCAGAAUGCAGUGUGGCCCUGGCCUGAUGAAUCCCUCUGCCCCUAGCCCUCAGAUCACAGCCUUCAAACGGUUUAAUUAAAGCGGUGGCUAUUC
RNAcentral lists this long non-coding RNA (382 nucleotides) under Mus pahari (shrew mouse). RNAcentral describes it as "lncRNA (MGP_PahariEiJ_G0003882.1)". The record is from RNAcentral. Lineage: Eukaryota; Metazoa; Chordata; Mammalia; Rodentia; Muridae.